Molecule: long non-coding RNA, 1262 nt
Filed under: Gopherus agassizii (Agassiz's desert tortoise)
Lineage: Eukaryota; Metazoa; Chordata; Testudines; Testudinidae
Description: lncRNA (ENSGAGG00000018486.1)
Source: RNAcentral
AUGCACUCCACAGUUGAUGGGGAAACUGAGGCACAGUCAUGUCUCGCUCUUACGGUGCGCCCCGGCUGUGCACCACGGGCCCCCAAGCAUUCACCCACCCGGCUGAGCUGCGCCCCACAGAGACGGGAGCUCUGGACCCUCCUCCGGCUCCCCCACAUUGAAUCCCUCCCAUCCUUGUCCUCUCCGCAGGCUACCUGCAGGCCUGCCGGGCCCUGAUGAUCACGGCCCUGCUGCUCGGCUGCCUGGCCGCCCUCUGCGGCGUGGUGGGGAUGAAAUGCACCAAGGUGGCGGAUGGGAACCCCGAGGCCAAGGGCAAGAUGGCAGCUGCUGGGGGCUGUAUGUUCAUCCUGGCGGGGCUGUGCGGGAUGGUGGCGCUCUCCUGGUACGCCUUUAACAUCACCCGGGACUUCUUCGACCCCCUCUUCCCCGGCACCAAGUACGAGAUCGGCCCGGCCCUGUACCUGGGCUGGAGCGGGUCCCUGCUGGCCAUCGUCGGGGGGGGCUGCCUGCUGGGCUCCUGUUGUGCCCACUCCUCGCGGGACAAGAGCUUCAGCUACCCCUACAGGGCGCCCAGGGCCGGCCCCCAGCGCCCACACAGAGGCUCGGACGCCAGCAGCGUCGGCAACUACGGCAAGAACGCCUACGUUUAGGUGUGGGGACCGGGGGGUGGGGGACCCAUUGCAAUCCCCCCCCGAUCCCCACUCCCACCCUGCACCGGACUCGGCGGCCGGCGUCACCGCGUUCCCACCCCCUGCGGCCCUGGAAUGGGGGCAGGAUUGUUCGACAACCCGCGAGGCCAGAAGACGCCGGUUGAUGACCCCACCCCGGCAGGUGAGACGCGCCCCAGGGCUGCAGCAGAAGGCAAAAAACCAACCCUACACAAUGUCCCUGCUAAUCCGACUUGGGGGGGCGGGAAAGUCCUUCCUGACCCCCAAUCCGGGGAUCGGUUGGACCCGGACCAUGGGAGCAGCCAGGCCAUUGGAAAGAGGGGUCCCUGGCCCCACACUGCCGGCGUCUCAUCUCCAGUCGUGGCCGAGCCCUGAUGCAUCAGAGAAAGCUGGAAAAAAUAACCACCGAGACGCACCCGGUGAGAGGCAGAGGGGGGCGGAAAUCUUCCUGACCCUACAGACAAGCGGGCGAAGCCCUGAAGCAUGAGAGUGGAUCUGAGCAUCCCCGUGUGAACAGGAAUUUUUCAAUGAGAUUUUUUUUUCCCCAUGGGAAAAGGCCGAGCCACAGAAAACAAAACUGUUCGGGGGAAGGGG